RNAcentral lists this ribosomal RNA (427 nucleotides) under uncultured bacterium. RNAcentral describes it as "partial 16S ribosomal RNA". It matches the Rfam family "Bacterial small subunit ribosomal RNA", at positions 355 to 774 of the family's 1533-position model. The record is from RNAcentral.
UGGGGAAUAUUGCACAAUGGGCGCAAGCCUGAUGCAGCCAUGCCGCGUGUAUGAAGAAGGCCUUCGGGUUGUAAAGUACUUUCAGCGGGGAGGAAGGUGUUGAGGUUAAUAACCUCAGCAAUUGACGUUACCCGCAGAAGAAGCACCGGCUAACUCCGUGCCGGCAGCCGCGGUAAUACGGAGGGUGCAAGCGUUAAUCGGAAUUACUGGGCGUAAAGCGCACGCAGGCGGUCUGUCAAGUCGGAUGUGAAAUCCCCGGGCUCAACCUGGGAACUGCAUUCGAAACUGGCAGGCUAGAGUCUUGUAGAGGGGGGUAGAAUUCCAGGUGUAGCGGUGAAAUGCGUAGAGAUCUGGAGGAAUACCGGUGGCGAAGGCGGCCCCCUGGACAAAGACUGACGCUCAGGUGCGAAAGCGUGGGGAGCAAACA